CAUGGCCUUUUGAUUUUGAUUUAAGGUCUGUUCUGCUCAAUGAAAUUUUAAAUAGCUGCAGUAUACUGACUGUACAAAGGUAGCAUAAUAAUUUGUCUCUUUAUUGGGGACUGGAAUGAAGGAAUUGACGAGAAAAUAGCUGUCUCAAUUAAAUUAUAUUUAAUUUUACUUUUAAGUUCAAAGGCUUAAAUUUUUUUUUUAGACGAGAAGACCCUAUAGAGCUUUAUAUUAUUUUUAAUUAAAAUUAUUUAGUAAUUUAUUUAUUUUAUUUUAUUUAUAGUAUUUAAUUGGGGUGAUUUAAAAAUUUAAUUAACUUUUUAUUUAUAUAAUUACUUAUUUGUAAAUUUUAAUUCUAGAUUUUCUAAGAAAAAAAUAAGUUACCUUAGGGAUAACAGCGUUAUUUUGUUUUAGAGUUCUUAUUUAAAACAAUGUUUGCGACCUCGAUGUUGGAUUAAAAUUUAUUUUUGAUGUAGAAGUCAAAAUAUUAAGUCUGUUCGACUUUUAAAAUUUUACAUGAUCUGAGU
This 524-nucleotide ribosomal RNA is filed under the name Chauliognathinae sp. UPOL 001394. Its description in RNAcentral is "partial 16S ribosomal RNA". The stretch from base 388 to 524 matches the Rfam family "Archaeal large subunit ribosomal RNA", at positions 2542 to 2679 of the family's 2987-position model. The record is from RNAcentral. Lineage: Eukaryota; Metazoa; Arthropoda; Insecta; Coleoptera; Cantharidae.